This 29-nucleotide non-coding RNA is filed under the name Mus musculus (house mouse). The record is from RNAcentral. Lineage: Eukaryota; Metazoa; Chordata; Mammalia; Rodentia; Muridae.
UAACACUAGAGUGUCAUAAAUUAGGAGAG